Long non-coding RNA from Phragmites australis (common reed), 782 nucleotides. RefSeq lists it as uncharacterized. NCBI's taxonomy places the organism in Eukaryota, Viridiplantae, Streptophyta, Magnoliopsida, Poales, Poaceae. The record is from RefSeq and is a predicted model, not a curated record. The transcript is spliced from 2 exons.
AUCAUUGUCGACUUUUCAUCCCACGGCUGCAAAAAGGCGUCGAUGUGCUUUGCAUCCUAAAAGGAUGGCAGGCAGACGUCUUGAAACCCAUCAAUGGCUGGUACCAUCGCAUCUUGUACCACAGCACAUUCAUCUCAAAGAAAUCGUCCACGCCGUGCGGGGAGCACAAGACACGGAGGGCUCCUCCGUCCGGCCUUCCCUGGCGGUUCCAACAUGGGCCGCUCUGUACCGCUGUUGUGAUUGCAGUUGCUUUGUUGCGAGUUUCGCUGUUCUCUGUAAUUGCUUGUGAUGAAUUGGGCUAGAUCUGCAUACCAGUGCGGAGAAAUGUCUGAAUCUGGAUACUCGCUUACCAAUUUGUGCAUUUCCUUGUCCCUACACAAUAAAGUAAUCUUGUUUCAGACCAUUGAGGCUUGUUUGCCGUGAUGCUGAAUUUUGACUGAAGCGGUUGCAAAUGCCAUUGACGCUUGUUUGCUUCAGAGCCAUUGAUGAUAAUUACAGUCAUGAACGGAUGACCGUUUCUUAUGAGCAACAGAGCAGAGUUUCAAUGAUCCUCAUGGAUGAUGCUGUUCUGGAGUUCCUCACGACCGAUGCCAAAGCACACAGCACGGAGGUUCAUCAACCCUCGCAGAAGGAUGUUGAGAAAUAGUCAGAAGAGUUCAAGUGCUAGCUUUCUUUCUUGGAAACAUGUGGUUAUGAUUAUUCAAUCCAUUGGUGUAAUCCAGCAAUGUGAAUAUAUCUAUAUUUGAACUUCUUCUCCGGUGAAGGAAUAUUGGAAUUGUUCA